CCUACGGGAGGCAGCAGUGAGGAAUAUUGGUCAAUGGCCGGAAGGCUGAACCAGCCAUGCCGCGUGAAGGUCAGUGCCCUAUGGGCGUUAAACUUCUUUUGUGCGGGAGCAAUAAUGGUCACGUGUGGCCAGACGAGAGUACCGUACGAAUAAGCAUCGGCUAAAUCCGUGCCAGCAGCCGCGGUAAUACGUAGGUGGCAAGCGUUGUCCGGAUUUACUGGGUGUAAAGGGCGUGCAGCCGGGAAGACAAGUCAGAUGUGAAAUCCCGCGGGUCAACCGCGGAACUGCAGUUGAAACUGUUUGUCUUGAGUACCGGAGAGGUCAGCGGAAUGCGUUGUGUAGCGGUGAAAUGCGUAGAUAUAAGGAAGAACACCAGUGGCGAAGGCAGAUGACUGGACGGCAACUGACGGUGAGGCGCGAAAGCGUGGGGAGCAAACAGGAUUAGAUACCCCUGUAGUC
Molecule: ribosomal RNA, 459 nt
Filed under: uncultured bacterium
Lineage: Bacteria
Description: partial 16S ribosomal RNA
Rfam family: Bacterial small subunit ribosomal RNA
Source: RNAcentral